Molecule: ribosomal RNA, 269 nt
Filed under: uncultured bacterium
Lineage: Bacteria
Description: partial 16S ribosomal RNA
Rfam family: Bacterial small subunit ribosomal RNA
Source: RNAcentral
ACGGAGGGUGCAAGCGUUAACGGAAUUACUGGGCGUAAAGCGCGCGUAGGUGGUUUGAUAGCGAGAUGUGAAAGCCCCGGGCUUAACCUGGGAACGGCAUUUCGAACUGUCAGGCUAGAGUAUGGUAGAGGUAGUGGAAUUUCCUGUGUAGCGUGAAAUGCGUAGAUAUAGGAAGGAACACCAGUGGCGAAGGCGGCACACUGGACCAAUACUGACACUGAGGUGCGAAAGCGUGGGGAGCAAACAGGAUUAGAUACCCCCCGUAGUCC